Molecule: ribosomal RNA, 492 nt
Filed under: uncultured Glomus
Lineage: Eukaryota; Fungi; Glomeromycota; Glomeromycetes; Glomerales; Glomeraceae
Description: SSU rRNA
Rfam family: Eukaryotic small subunit ribosomal RNA
Source: RNAcentral
AGCAGCCGCGGUAAUUCCAGCUCCAAUAGCGUAUAUUAAAGUUGUUGCAGUUAAAAAGCUCGUAGUUGAAUUUCGGGGUUAGUAGGUUGGUCAUGCCUCUGGUAUGUACUGGUCUCACUGAUUCCUCCUUCCUGAUGAGCCGUAAUGCCAUUAAUUUGGUGUUGCGGGGAAUUUGGACUGUUACUUUGAAAAAUUAGAGUGUUUAAAGCAAGCUAACGCUUGAAUACAUUAGCAUGGAAUAAUGAAAUAGGACGUUCGAUCCUAUUUUGUUGGUUUCUAGGAUUGACGUAAUGAUUAAUAGGGAUAGUUGGGGGCAUUAGUAUUCAAUUGUCAGAGGUGAAAUUCUUGGAUUUAUUGAAGACUAACUACUGCGAAAGCAUUUGCCAAGGAUGUUUUCAUUAAUCAAGAACGAAAGUUAGGGGAUCGAAGACGAUCAGAUACCGUCGUAGUCUUAACCAUAAACUAUGCCGACUAGGGAUCGGAUGAUGUUAA